CCUACGGGGGGCAGCAGUGAGGAAUAUUGGUCAAUGGACGCAAGUCUGAACCAGCCAUGUCGCGUGAGGGAUGAAGGUACAGAGUAUCGUAAACCUCUUUUGUCAGGGAACAAAGGCGGGGACGCGUCCCCGGAUGAGUGUACCUGAAGAAAAAGCAUCGGCUAACUCCGUGCCAGCAGCCGCGGUAAUACGGAGGAUGCGAGCGUUAUCCGGAUUUAUGGGGUGAAAAGGGUGGGCAGGCGGUCUGUUAAGUCAGCGGUCAAAGCCCGGGGCUCAACCCCGGCCCGCCGUUGAAACUGGCAGUCUCGAGUUGGAGAGACGUAUGCGGAAUGCGCGGUGUAGCGGUGAAAUGCAUA
RNAcentral lists this ribosomal RNA (356 nucleotides) under uncultured bacterium. Its description in RNAcentral is "partial 16S ribosomal RNA". It matches the Rfam family "Bacterial small subunit ribosomal RNA", at positions 338 to 692 of the family's 1533-position model. The record is from RNAcentral.